CCUACGGUAUGCAGCAGUCGAGAAUCAUUCACAAUGGGGGAAACCCUGAUGGUGCGACGCCGCGUGGGGGAAUGAAGGUCUUCGGAUUGUAAACCCCUGUCAUGUGGGAGCAAAUUAAAAAGAUAGUACCACAAGAGGAAGAGACGGCUAACUCUGUGCCAGCAGCCGCGGUAAUACAGAGGUCUCAAGCGUUGUGCGGAAUCACUGGGCGUAAAGCGUGCGUAGGCUGUUUCGUAAGUCGUGUGUGAAAGGCGCGGGCUCAACCCGCGGACGGCACAUGAUACUGCGAGACUAGAGUAAUGGAGGGGGAACCGGAAUUCUCGGUGUAGCAGUGAAAUGCGUAGAUAUCGAGAGGAACACUCGUGGCGAAGGCGGGUUCCUGGACAUUAACUGACGCUGAGGCACGAAGGCCAGGGGAGCGAAAGGGAUUAGAUACCCCGGUAGUC
This 446-nucleotide ribosomal RNA is filed under the name uncultured bacterium. Its description in RNAcentral is "partial 16S ribosomal RNA". It matches the Rfam family "Bacterial small subunit ribosomal RNA", at positions 338 to 795 of the family's 1533-position model. The record is from RNAcentral.